This 45-nucleotide non-coding RNA is filed under the name Schistosoma curassoni. Lineage: Eukaryota; Metazoa; Platyhelminthes; Trematoda; Strigeidida; Schistosomatidae. The record is from RNAcentral.
GUCCCGCUGACGAGUCCCAAAUAGGACGAAACUGACGUCCUAGAU